Molecule: ribosomal RNA, 253 nt
Filed under: uncultured bacterium
Lineage: Bacteria
Description: partial 16S ribosomal RNA
Rfam family: Bacterial small subunit ribosomal RNA
Source: RNAcentral
UACGUAGGGGGCAAGCGUUGUCCGGAUUUAUUGGGCGUAAAGAGCGUGUAGGCGGCCAGGUAGGUCCGUUGUGAAAACUCGAGGCUCAACCUCGAGACGUCGGCGGAAACCAUCUGGCUAGAGUCCGGAAGAGGAGAGUGGAAUUCCUGGUGUAGCGGUGGAAUGCGCAGAUAUCAGGAGGAACACCAAUAGCGAAGGCAGCUCGCUGGGACGUUACUGACACUGAGGCGCGAAAGCGUGGGGAGCGAACAGG